AGAGUUUGAUCCUGGCUCAGAACGAACGUUAGCGGCGCGCCUAACACAUGCAAGUCGCACGAGAAAGGGCUUCGGCCCCAGUAAAGUGGCGCACGGGUGAGUAACACGUGGGUAAUGUUCCCUCGGGCGGGGGAUAACCUUCCGAAAGGAGGGCUAAUACCGCAUAAGACCACCGCUCCGAAAGGAGUGGCGGUAAAAGC
This 200-nucleotide ribosomal RNA is filed under the name uncultured bacterium. Its description in RNAcentral is "partial 16S ribosomal RNA". It matches the Rfam family "Bacterial small subunit ribosomal RNA", at positions 8 to 207 of the family's 1533-position model. The record is from RNAcentral.